Molecule: ribosomal RNA, 406 nt
Filed under: uncultured bacterium
Lineage: Bacteria
Description: partial 16S ribosomal RNA
Rfam family: Bacterial small subunit ribosomal RNA
Source: RNAcentral
AUUGAACGCUGGCGGCAGGCCUAACACAUGCAAGUCGAACGAGUGGCGGACGGGUGAGUAAUGUCUGGGAAACUGCCCGAUGGAGGGGGAUAACUACUGGAAACGGUAGCUAAUACCGCAUACCAUCGGAUGUGCCCAGAUGGGAUUAUCUAGUAGGUGGGGUAACGGCUCACCUAGGCGACGAGCCCUAGCUGGUCUGAGAGGAUGACCAGCCACACUGGAACUGCGCCACGUGCCAGACUCCUCGGGGAGGCCGCAGUGGGGAUUAUUGCACACUGGGCGCAAGCCUGAUGCAGCCAUGCCGCGUGUAUGAAGAAGGCCUUCGGGUUGUAAAGUACUUUCAGCGAGGAGGCGUUACUCGCAGAAGAAGCCCCGGCUAACUCCGUGCCAGCAGCCGCGGUAAUAC